RNAcentral lists this ribosomal RNA (431 nucleotides) under uncultured bacterium. Its description in RNAcentral is "partial 16S ribosomal RNA". It matches the Rfam family "Bacterial small subunit ribosomal RNA", at positions 29 to 507 of the family's 1533-position model. The record is from RNAcentral.
AACGAACGCUGUCGGCAGGCUUAACACAUGCAAUUCGAGCGCCCCGCAAGGGGAGCGGCCGACGGGUGAGUACCGCGUGGGAACGUACCUUUUGGUUCGGAACAACUCCGGGAAACUGGAGCUAAUACCGGAUAAGCCCUAACGGGGAAAGAUUUAUCGCCGAAAGAUCGGCCCGCGUCUGAUUAGCUAGUUGGUGAGUUAACGGCUCACCAAGGCGACGAUCAGUAGCUGGUCUGAGAGGAUGAUCAGCCACACUGGGACUGAGACACGGCCCAGACUCCUACGGGAGGCAGCAGUGGGGAAUAUUGGACAAUGGGCGCAAGCAUGAUCCAGCCAUGCCGCGUGAGUGAUGAAGGCAGUAGGGUUGUAAAGAUCUUUUGUCCGGGAAGAUAAUGACGGUACCGGAAGAAUAAGCCCCGGCUAACUUCGUG